GUCUUUUUGUAAAAAAUUUAAAGUCUGGUCUGCCCUAUGAUUAAUUAAAUGGCCGCGGUAUUUUGACCGUGCUAAGGUAGCAUAAUCAUUAGUUUUUUAAUUGAAAGCUGGAAUGAAGGGCUGAAUGAAAAAAAGACUGUCUCUAUAUAAUUUUUAUUGAAUUUUAUUUUUAAGUUAAAAAGCUUAAAUAAAGUUAAAAGACGAGAAGACCCUAUAGAGUUUAAUAAUUUUUUUUAUAAAAAAUUUAGUAUUAAUUUUUUUAUUUAUAAAAAAUUAUUUAAUUGGGGUGAUUAAAAAAUUUAAUUAACUUUUUUUAUAUUAAUAUAUUAAUUAAUAAUUUCUUGAUCCAAUAUUUUUGAUUAUAAGAUUAAAUUACCUUAGGGAUAACAGCGUAAUUUUAUUAGAGAGUUCUAAUCGAUAAUAAAGUUUGCGACCUCGAUGUUGGAUUAAAAUUUAUAAUUGGUGCAGAAGCUAUAUUAUUAAGUCUGUUCGACUUUUAAAAUUUUACA
Molecule: ribosomal RNA, 509 nt
Filed under: Trirhabda virgata
Lineage: Eukaryota; Metazoa; Arthropoda; Insecta; Coleoptera; Chrysomelidae
Description: partial 16S ribosomal RNA
Rfam family: Bacterial large subunit ribosomal RNA
Source: RNAcentral